Molecule: long non-coding RNA, 638 nt
Organism: Amborella trichopoda
Lineage: Eukaryota; Viridiplantae; Streptophyta; Magnoliopsida; Amborellales; Amborellaceae
Source: RefSeq, a predicted model, not a curated record
UCUCUCUAGCAUCUCUCUCUCAAAAGAUAGAGCUCCGGAGCAUUUUGUGGUCUCUCAAAAGGUGCAGCCCCGACCCUCUACAUUCUCUCUCUCUCAAAAGACAGUGCUCUCAAGCCCUGUUGUGGUCUCUCUCAAAAGACGCAGCCCCAACUCUCUACAAUGUGUCUCUCUCUCUUAAAAGAAAGAGCUCUCAAGCCCUGUGGCUGUCUCUCUCAAAAGAUGCAGCCCCAACUUUCAGAGGUCGAGGGAUAUUUCAGGUAGAUGGAAGCAGACAAAUCAGGAUCCAUUGAAGGCUUGGUUUUGUUCUCCAAAAUAGUUUUCCAGGUUUCUCUCUCUCUCCUUCUCCCUCUUAUGCUGGAUAUCUCAAGUUUGUUCUUUGCUUGGCUUGGAAUGUCUUCUUAGGUAUACUUGCAGGGUGAGAGACGUGUUGUUUAAUUCACUUGUGUGAGUGCUUGUUCUUUGUUCUUUUCGAAUUUCAAGAAUGAUUUGGUUGAAAACGUUCUACUUGUUUUAUGUGAGUGUUCAUGUGUAAUUAGCAUAUGCUUUUCUUUGUGAGAGCUCUGGUUGGUUCUCUGCUUCUUGCUUGUUCUGUGUUAUACAUGACUCUCUAUGCGCAUGUAUUGAAUCUUGUUCUAUUC